UACAGAGACUGCAAGCGUUAUUCGGAUUCACUGGGCGUAAAGGGUGCGCAGGCGGCCGAGUGUGUGAGGCGUGAAAGCCCGGAGCUUAACUCCGGAAUUGCACCUCAAACUACACGGCUAGAGCAUUGGAGAGGGUAGCAGAAUUCACGGUGUAGCAGUGAAAUGCGUAGAUAUCGUGAGGAAUACCAGAGGCGAAGGCGGCUACCUGGACAAUUGCUGACGCUCAGGCACGAAAGCGUGGGGAGCAAAAGGG
RNAcentral lists this ribosomal RNA (253 nucleotides) under uncultured bacterium. RNAcentral describes it as "partial 16S ribosomal RNA". It matches the Rfam family "Bacterial small subunit ribosomal RNA", at positions 524 to 776 of the family's 1533-position model. The record is from RNAcentral.